AGAGUUUGAUCCUGGCUCAGGAUGAACGUUGGCGGUGUGCCUAAUACAUGCAAGUCGAACGGAGUCAGUAGCAAUAUUGGCUCAGUGGCGAACGGGUGAGUAACGCGUUGGUGAUCUGCCUUGAAGUGUGGAAUAACGUUUCGAAAGAGACGCUAAUACCGCAUGUGCUCUCGAUUUUCAGAAAGUUGAGAGUAAAGGAUUUAUUCGCUUCAAGAGGAGCCUGCGUCCCAUCAGCUGGUUGGUAGGGUAACGGCCUACCAAGGCUAUGACGGGUAGGGGACCUGAGAGGGUGGCCCCCCACAAUGGAACUGAAACACGGUCCAUACACCUACGGGUGGCAGCAGUAGGGAAUAUUAGAAAUGGACGAAAGUCUGAUCUAGCAACACCGCGUGUGCGAAGAAGGCCUUCGGGGUCGUAAAGCACUUUUUUGGAAGGAAUAGGAAGGAAUGUACUUCCAGAAUAAGUCUCGGGCUAACUACGUGCCAGCAGCCGCCGGUAACACGUAGGAGGCAAACGUUUAUCCGGGAUUUUACUGGGCGUAAAGCGCGUGUGUAGGCCGGUAAGUGGGGCGUGAUAGCCCCUGGCUCUUUUGGGAGAGGCCGAACUGACAACAGAACUACAGUUGUGGAGUUGAGGAGGA
RNAcentral lists this ribosomal RNA (640 nucleotides) under uncultured Anaerolineaceae bacterium. RNAcentral's name for it is "bacterial SSU rRNA". It matches the Rfam family "Bacterial small subunit ribosomal RNA", at positions 8 to 664 of the family's 1533-position model. The record is from RNAcentral. Lineage: Bacteria; Bacillati; Chloroflexota; Anaerolineae; Anaerolineales; Anaerolineaceae.